This is a long non-coding RNA of Cercocebus atys (sooty mangabey), 945 nucleotides long. RefSeq lists it as uncharacterized. Lineage: Eukaryota; Metazoa; Chordata; Mammalia; Primates; Cercopithecidae. The record is from RefSeq and is a predicted model, not a curated record. The transcript is spliced from 3 exons.
AAAGUGCUGGGAUCACAGGCGUGAGCCACAGCGCCCAGCCUACAGAUGAAAUUUUAAGGAAAUGUCUGCUUUGAAUGCUGAAUAAAAUAUAAGAAAAAACCAAAAAUAACACAGUCUGCUGAAAUUCUGACAGCAAUGAUAAAAGAAUUUCCAAGGAACUAAAAUCCAGUGACAAAAAUGAAAUCAAUCAAGGCUGAAUCGCACACCUGAGACAUUCCUCGAGAAGGCAGAGGAGAAAGGUGUGAAACAGUGAACCAGAGAAGGAUGGCCAGGGACAACAAAGAUUGGAGUGCUGAAGUUGAAUGACAGAUAUUCUGGACAAAGACCCCAGAGACGACAAAAGGGGUCUGUCACACGCAGCCCAACUCAACUGGAGUCCUGAGAAGGUGACCAGACCAGGAUGGAGGCACAGGAAACUCACCAGAAGUCCCCAGGCAUCAGAACAAGGUCGAAGCAUCCUGGUCCUCACCUUCUAGCACAUUCUUCAAGAGUGAUUCUGAGGCAAGCCAGCCGCCAUGUCAUGAGGACACUCAAGCAGCCCCAUGGAGAGGUCCGAUGGCGAGGAACAGAGGAUCCCCCUGCCGAUAGCCAAUGAGGAACAGAGGCCUCCCAACAGCCAUGUAAGGGGUCACCUUGGAAGCCAAUGGCCCCUCCCUACUCAGGCUUUUACAUGACUGCGGUCCUGGCCAACGCCCUGACGGCAACCUCAUGAGAGACCAUGAGCCAGAGCCACCCACCUAAGCUGCUUCUAGGUUCCUGACCCUCAGAAACCAUGUGAGAUCAUAAAUGUUUGCUCAAUUUGAGAUAUUUGUGAUGCAGCAAUAAAUAACAAAUACACUUACCUUUCAAGGUUAUUAUAAGAAUUAAGAGUUAAUACACAUCAAACUACAACCAAACUUGCUGGGACCAGAGGCUCAAGAAAGGGCAGACAGGGCCGGGUGCGGC